This 432-nucleotide long non-coding RNA is filed under the name Nicotiana benthamiana. Its description in RNAcentral is "long non-coding RNA (NBEN_LNC041013)". The record is from RNAcentral. Lineage: Eukaryota; Viridiplantae; Streptophyta; Magnoliopsida; Solanales; Solanaceae.
CCUGUUCUUUUUUUUCGUACCAAUUCGUCGGUGUUUCUCCUCGUGCCUUCUCUUCUCAAUUAACUCUAUCAGUUCAGAAUGCCACUUAUCUCUAUAUCAUCGUUCCACAUCUUAUGUCAUGUUAGCAUUCCAAUAUUCCAUGUGUAAUGCUUUUUACCACCAAUACAGAUAGUCCCCCACUUUUCUGAAUAUUCUCUGUUGAAUAUUCAAGGAAGUGAAAAGUUUUUAUGGAAGAAUAUCUCUGCCGCCGUUUUUUGAGUACAAUCAUACCCCCAUAUGAACUAAUACGACGCAUAUCACGUCCAUUUAACGAUCAUGCCGCGUGGCUUCUACCAAUUGGUUCUUCAUUUCCUUAAUGUGUUUAGGGCUUUUCUGCAGCCGUAUCAGUCACGAAGUGAGGGUUCCAUUAUGAUGCUUCAUAAUGACUUUAAU